RNAcentral lists this ribosomal RNA (1509 nucleotides) under uncultured bacterium. Its description in RNAcentral is "bacterial SSU rRNA". It matches the Rfam family "Bacterial small subunit ribosomal RNA". The record is from RNAcentral.
UAGAGUUUGAUCAUGGCUCAGAUUGAACGCUGGCGGCAGGCCUAACACAUGCAAGUCGAACGGUAACAGGAAGCAGCUUGCUGCUUCGCUGACGAGUGGCGGACGGGUGAGUAAUGUCUGGGAAACUGCCCGGUGGAGGGGGAUAACUACUGGAAACGGUAGCUAAUACCGCAUAACGUCGCAAGACCAAAGAGGGGGACCUUCGGGCCUCUUGCCACCGGAUGUGCCCAGAUGGGAUUAGCUUGUUGGUGAGGUAACGGCUCACCAAGGCGACGAUCCCUAGCUGGUCUGAGAGGAUGACCAGCCACACUGGAACUGAGACACGGUCCAGACUCCUACGGGAGGCAGCAGUGGGGAAUAUUGCACAAUGGGCGCAAGCCUGAUGCAGCCAUGCCGCGUGUAUGAAGAAGGCCUUCGGGUUGUAAAGUACUUUCAGCGGGGAGGAAGGGAUUGUGGUUAAUAACCGCAGUCAUUGACGUUACCCGCAGAAGAAGCACCGGCUAACUCCGUGCCAGCAGCCGCGGUAAUACGGAGGGUGCAAGCGUUAAUCGGAAUUACUGGGCGUAAAGCGCACGCAGGCGGUCUGUCAAGUCGGAUGUGAAAUCCCCGGGCUCAACCUGGGAACUGCAUUCGAAACUGGCAGGCUUGAGUCUCGUAGAGGGGGGUGGAAUUCCAGGUGUAGCGGUGAAAUGCGUAGAGAUCUGGAGGAAUACCGGUGGCGAAGGCGGCCCCCUGGACGAAGACUGACGCUCAGGUGCGAAAGCGUGGGGAGCAAACAGGAUUAGAUACCCUGGUAGUCCACGCCGUAAAACGAUGUCUACUUGGAGGUUGUGCCCCUGAGGCGUGGCUUCCGGAGCUAACGCGUUAAGUAGACCGCCUGGGGAGUACGGCCGCAAGGUUAAAACUCAAAUGAAUUGACGGGGGCCCGCACAAGCGGUGGAGCAUGUGGUUUAAUUCGAUGCAACGCGAAGAACCUUACCUGGUCUUGACAUCCACGGAAGACUGCAGAGAUGCGGUUGUGCCUUCGGGAGCCGUGAGACAGGUGCUGCAUGGCUGUCGUCAGCUCGUGUUGUGAAAUGUUGGGUUAAGUCCCGCAACGAGCGCAACCCUUAUCCUUUGUUGCCAGCGGUUAGGCCGGGAACUCAAAGGAGGCUGCCAGUGAUAAACUGGAGGAAGGUGGGGAUGACGUCAAGUCAUCAUGGCCCUUACGACCAGGGCUACACACGUGCUACAAUGGCAUAUACAAAGAGAAGCGACCUCGCGAGAGCAAGCGGACCUCAUAAAGUAUGUCGUAGUCCGGAUUGGAGUCUGCAACUCGACUCCAUGAAGUCGGAAUCGCUAGUAAUCGUGGAUCAGAAUGCCACGGUGAAUACGUUCCCGGGCCUUGUACACACCGCCCGUCACACCAUGGGAGUGGGUUGCAAAAGAAGUAGGUAGCUUAACCUCCGGGAGGGCGCUUACCACUUUGUGAUUCAUGACUGGGGUGAAGUCGUAACAAGGUAACCGUAA